RNAcentral lists this small nuclear RNA (292 nucleotides) under Anolis carolinensis (green anole). Its description in RNAcentral is "7SK RNA". It matches the Rfam family "7SK RNA". From Rfam's summary of the family: 7SK was discovered as an abundant small nuclear RNA in the mid-70s but a possible function has only recently been suggested. Two independent studies have found that 7SK RNA binds the CDK9/cyclin T complex (known as elongation factor P-TEFb). P-TEFb activates transcription by phosphorylating the C-terminal domain of RNA polymerase II. The record is from Rfam by way of RNAcentral. Lineage: Eukaryota; Metazoa; Chordata; Lepidosauria; Squamata; Anolidae.
GGAUGUCAGGCGACCUGGCUACAAUAUUUGUCAAUCAACUGGGGUUGAUGCGCCUUUCUUCCCUCACUGCUCCAUUUACAUCCCUCCUGAAGCUGUGUGCUUGGUGUAAGAGGACUAUCCCAGAUAGAAAAAGUUUAUUGUUCUUCAGCACUUUACAUCAAAGUGAUGUUACCAUCUCAUAAACAAUUCUGAGCAUGUGAAAAUCCAGUUGGUCAGAUGGUAAUAGUAUCUUAGAUUAUGAAUCCUGAAAUUUUGGAAUAGGUUUCAUGAAAGGGGAAGCAUUUGUUUCCUA